CAGCAGCCGCGGUAAAACGGAGGGUGCAAGCGUUAAUCGGAAUUACUGGGCGUAAAGCGCACGCAGGCGGUCUGACAAGUCAGAUGUGAAAUCCCCGGGCUUAACCUGGGAACUGCAUUUGAAACUGUCAGGCUGGAGUCUUGUAGAGGGGGGUGGAAUUCCAGGUGUAGCGGUGAAAUGCGUAGAGAUCUGGAGGAAUACCGGUGGCGAAGGCGGCCCCCUGGACAAAGACUGACGCUCAGGUGCGAAAGCGUGGGGAGCAAACAGGAUUAGAGACCCCUGUAGUCCCUGUCUCUUAUAC
RNAcentral lists this ribosomal RNA (301 nucleotides) under uncultured bacterium. Its description in RNAcentral is "partial 16S ribosomal RNA". It matches the Rfam family "Bacterial small subunit ribosomal RNA", at positions 509 to 807 of the family's 1533-position model. The record is from RNAcentral.